Molecule: ribosomal RNA, 434 nt
Filed under: uncultured archaeon
Lineage: Archaea
Description: bacterial SSU rRNA
Rfam family: Archaeal small subunit ribosomal RNA
Source: RNAcentral
UUCCGGUUGAUCCCGCCGGAGGCUACUGCUAUCGGGAUUCGAUUAAGCCAUGCGAGUCGAGAGGGUUCGGCCCUCGGCUGACUGCUCAGUAACACGUGGAUAACUUGCCCUCAGGUAGGGGAUAAUCUCGGGAAACUGAGGAUAAUACCCUAUAGACAUCCUUUGCUGGAACGCUUGGAUGUUCAAAGGUAACGCCUGAGGAUAGGUCUGCGGCCUAUCAGGUUGUAGUGGGUGUAAUGGACCCACUAGCCCGCGACGGGUACGGGCCUUGAAAGAGGUAGCCCGGAGAUGGACUCUGAGACACGAGUCCAGGCCCUACGGGGCGCAGCAGGCGCGAAAACUUCGCAAUGCGGGAAACCGUGACGAGGGAAUCCCGAGUGCUCAUACAAUGUAUGGGCUUUUCUUAUGUGUAAAUAGCAUGAGGAAUAAGGGCU